This 404-nucleotide ribosomal RNA is filed under the name uncultured bacterium. Its description in RNAcentral is "bacterial SSU rRNA". It matches the Rfam family "Bacterial small subunit ribosomal RNA", at positions 355 to 776 of the family's 1533-position model. The record is from RNAcentral.
UGGGGAAUAUUGCACAAUGGGGGGAACCCUGAUGCAGCGACGCCGCGUGAGUGAAGAAGUAUUUCGGUAUGUAAAGCUCUAUCAGCAGGGAAGAAAAUGACGGUACCUGACUAAGAAGCCCCGGCUAACUACGUGCCAGCAGCCGCGGUAAUACGUAGGGGGCAAGCGUUAUCCGGAUUUACUGGGUGUAAAGGGAGCGUAGACGGCAGAGCAAGUCAGAAGUGAAAGCCCGCGGCUCAACUGCGGGACUGCUUUUGAAACUGUUCAGCUGGAGUGCAGGAGAGGCAAGCGGAAUUCCUAGUGUAGCGGUGAAAUGCGUAGAUAUUAGGAGGAACACCAGUGGCGAAGGCGGCUUGCUGGACUGUAACUGACGUUGAGGCUCGAAAGCGUGGGGAGCAAACAGG